GAGAAAUUCAUUCUUUUAUCAGGAAUCUACCCCCAUGAUAAUGGUAUUAAUCCAUUCAUGGAUCACUUCUUAAAGAUUCUACCUAUCAACACUGUUGCGUUGAGGAUUAAUUGAAUAACCCAUAAACUAUGGGAGACACAGUCAAGCCACAGAAAUAGGUUACACAAAAGAGGUUGAGCACAAUAGUCAUCUUCUCAUGGAUGACAUUUUUUUUACUCAUUUACCAUAUCUAAUCUUACUUUUUAAAAUAAGUGAGUAUGACAUUAAAAUAUAAAAUAGAGAACUUUAAGUUUUAAGCUAAAAAUACAGGAACAUUUGGAUAUCUGACUCACAUAUUUUAAUUAGUAACCAAAUUUUGAGAUAUCUUGAAUAAAAUGUUUUUUUCUAACUCAUUCCAUAAUCUUUUUAUUAGCAUUAAAACAGCCUGGGCAAUGCAUGUACCUUUAAUAAUUUGAUACUGUGGACUUUGUAGAAACCAGCUGCAGACUGGAUAAGACUGUUAUUUCCUUAUCUGCUGGUGGACUCCCUACCUCACUGCCACCGAGUGCGCGAUCCUGUUGACAACACGUUACACUAAAACCGCUAAGCCCAGGGCCUGUGGCUCUCCUUGUCCUCUGUGGGCUUUGGUUCCUCUCCUUCCCACUCACAGGACUGGACCUGUCAAAUGAAUGUCCUUUCCAGCUUAUCUGGCUGUGUGUCUAUAACUGUGCCUUCCUGAAACUGUCCCCAGUUUCUGUAAGCUGCUUGUUUGCGGGCAGAGGUGACAGAUUCACCACAGAUGUCACCUCUCUAUCGUCACUCUUGUUUCCAUGUUCCUUCUGUAUGGGUUCUAUCAACUAUGCAGCGUAUCUUUCAGGGAAGGGAGUUCUGGGAAAGAGAGUGUGUCCGUUUAUGUGUCCAUGAAGUGCCCACACACAUCCCUCUGGAACUCAAAGAUCUACCUGAAAUUUUAUGUCCCCCUCUGCUCCUCACGUGACACCAAUGCGCCUUGUGUCACCACUGUAUGGUGAGUUUAGAACAUAGUUGAAAGACGCUUGUCCAUCUUCAGAACAAGGUGGGGGACACACACAUAAUGCAGUAAUUCCAAUGCAGAUGGCAGAAGCAGCGAGG
This 1110-nucleotide long non-coding RNA is filed under the name Marmota monax (woodchuck). The record is from RNAcentral. Lineage: Eukaryota; Metazoa; Chordata; Mammalia; Rodentia; Sciuridae.